GACGAACGCUGGCGGCGUGCUUAACACAUGCAAGUCGAACGGAAAGGCCCUGCUUUUGUGGGGUGCUCGAGUGGCGAACGGGUGAGUAACACGUGAGUAACCUGCCCUUGACUUUGGGAUAACUUCAGGAAACUGGGGCUAAUACCGGAUAGGAGCUCCUGAUGCAUGGUGGGGGUUGGAAAGUUUCGGCGGUUUGGGAUGGACUCGCGGCUUAUCAGCUUGUUGGUGGGGUAGUGGAUUACCAAGGCUUUGACGGGUAGCCGGCCUGGGAGGGUGACCGGCCACCUUGGGCCUGAGAUACGGCCCAGACGCCUACGGGAGGCAGCAGUGGGGAAUAUUGCACAAUGGGCGGAAGCCUGAUGCAGCAACGCCGCGUGCGUGAUGACGGCCUUCGGGUUGUAAACCUCUUUCGCCUGUGACGAAGCGUGAGUGACGGUAAUGGGUAAAGAAGCACCGGCUAACUACGUG
Molecule: ribosomal RNA, 468 nt
Filed under: uncultured bacterium
Lineage: Bacteria
Description: partial 16S ribosomal RNA
Rfam family: Bacterial small subunit ribosomal RNA
Source: RNAcentral